This is a long non-coding RNA of Anguilla rostrata (American eel), 769 nucleotides long. RefSeq lists it as uncharacterized. The record is from RefSeq and is a predicted model, not a curated record. The transcript has 4 exons. Lineage: Eukaryota; Metazoa; Chordata; Actinopteri; Anguilliformes; Anguillidae.
CUGGUAGUAGGUGGGUGUAAUUGAAUAGGAAUAAUUGAUGUGCUGAUUCUUUUGUUUUGUAUACAUUACUGUUAUUUAGCAGACGCUUUUAUCCAAAGCGACGUACAAAAGUGCAUAUCAAGAUCAUUGAAACAACUACCUUAUGUAGUUGUUUCAAGAUCAUGGAAACAACUUCAUAAGGCACAGUAUGUAUAUACAUUUUGUAUGAUAGUUGAAGGCAAUUUUGUAAAUGAAACGCCCCGCUUGGGUCACACAAGUUCGAGAAUCAUUUCCAAAGUUCGCUGUAAGAUCCACCGACCGACCAUCCUUGUAACAGAGAUGGCGACCAACAAAUUACGACCCAGGAGGCGCUAGACACGUGUUUGGAGAGGAGCAGCGGCCCCAUGCAGACUGACUGGCAUGGCUUCGUCAUUUGGAACCCUCCUCAAUCACACAGGAUAACGGCAGUGCCCAGCCCGAUACGCUUCCCCAGAUAUUCCAUCGGGGCUGGCUUGCCGCAGGUUAACGACCCUCUCAGCCCAUCGUCAGCACUCUCACCAACAUAAAGCCUUGAUGGAAAUAACUUGCAGCCUAUCGAUAAAAAGGAAGAGUGGGCAACUCAGAACCAUGAAGGCCAAAUUAACUCUCAACCCCUCCCCCAUUUUUUUUUUUUUUUUUUUUAACAUCAUCACUGCUGCAUUCCGUGUUGGAUGAACAGUGAAACCACCUGUGAACACAAAUCUAAAACAACUGCUGAUUUAAAACCUGCAAUAAAACUGAACCGCCUGCA